UUCCGGUUGAUCCCGCCGGACCCCACUGCUAUCGGGGUGGGACUAAGCCAUGCAAGUCGAAGGUCCCCGGCUCCGGGGGCCUGGCAGACGGCUCAGUAACACGUGGCCAACCUGCCCUCGGGAGGGGGAUAACCCCGGGAAACUGGGGUUAAACCCCCAUAGGCGGCGAGAUCUGGAAGGGCUCGCCGCUGAAAGUGGUGCACGGGGAUGCUCCGUGCACCAGCCCGAGGAUGGGGCUGCGGCCCAUCAGGUUGUUGGCGGGGUAACGGCCCGCCAAGCCUAUAACGGGUACGGGCCCUGAGAGGGGGAGCCCGGAGAUGGGCUCUGAGACAAGAGCCCAGGCCCUACGGGGCGCAGCAGGCGCGAAACCUCCCCAAUGCCCGAAAGGGUGAGGGGGUCACCCCGAGUGCCGGCCUCGUGCCGGCUUUUGCCGGGUCUAAAUAGCCCGGCGAAUAAGGGGGGGGCAAGACGGGUGUCAGCCGCCGCGGUAAUACCCGCCCCCCGAGUGGUGGGGACUAUUACUGGGCUUAAAGCGCCCGUAGCCGGCCGGGUGUGUCCUCCGUCAAAUCCACGGGCCUAACCCGUGGGCUGCGGAGGAUACUACCCGGCUUGGGGGUGGAAGAGGGCGGCGGUAUUCCCGGGGUAGGGGUAAAAUCCUCUGAUCCCGGGAGGACCACCAGUGGCGAAGGCGGCCGCCCAGGACACGCCCGAUGGUGAGGGGCGAAAGCUGGGGGAGCAAACGGGAUUAGAUACCCCGGUAGUCCCAGCUGUAAACGAUGCGGGCUAGGUGUCGGGUGGGCUACGGGCUCACCCGGUGCCGAAGGGAAACCAUUAAGCCCGCCGCCUGGGGAGUACGGCCGCAAGGCUGAAACUUAAAGGAAUUGGCGGGGGAGCACCACAAGGGGUGGACGUUGCGGCUUAAUUGGAUUCAACGCCGGGA
RNAcentral lists this ribosomal RNA (940 nucleotides) under uncultured archaeon. RNAcentral's name for it is "bacterial SSU rRNA". It matches the Rfam family "Archaeal small subunit ribosomal RNA", at positions 1 to 923 of the family's 1478-position model. The record is from RNAcentral.